Molecule: ribosomal RNA, 215 nt
Filed under: Providencia sp.
Lineage: Bacteria; Pseudomonadati; Pseudomonadota; Gammaproteobacteria; Enterobacterales; Morganellaceae
Description: partial 16S ribosomal RNA
Rfam family: Bacterial small subunit ribosomal RNA
Source: RNAcentral
ACGCAGGCGGUUGAUUAAGUUAGAUGUGAAAUCCCCGGGCUUAACCUGGGAAUGGCAUCUAAGACUGGUCAGCUAGAGUCUUGUAGAGGGGGGUAGAAUUCCAUGUGUAGCGGUGAAAUGCGUAGAGAUGUGGAGGAAUACCGGUGGCGAAGGCGGCCCCCUGGACAAAGACUGACGCUCAGGUGCGAAAGCGUGGGGAGCAAACAGGAUUAGAU